Molecule: ribosomal RNA, 460 nt
Filed under: uncultured bacterium
Lineage: Bacteria
Description: partial 16S ribosomal RNA
Rfam family: Bacterial small subunit ribosomal RNA
Source: RNAcentral
CCUACGGGUGGCAGCAGUGAGGAAUAUUGGUCAAUGGACGAGAGUCUGAACCAGCCAAGUAGCGUGAAGGAUGACUGCCCUAUGGGUUGUAAACUUCUUUUAUAUGGGAAUAAAACGUUCCACGUGUGGGAUUUUGUAUGUACCAUAUGAAUAAGGAUCGGCUAACUCCGUGCCAGCAGCCGCGGUAAUACGGAGGAUCCGAGCGUUAUCCGGAGUUAUUGGGUUUAAAGGGAGCGUAGGUGGAUUGUUAAGUCAGUUGUGAAAGUUUGCGGCUCAACCGUAAAAUUGCAGGUGAAACUGGCAGUCUUGAGUACAGUAGAGGUGGGCGGAAUUCGUGGUGUAGCGGUGAAAUGCUUAGAUAUCACGAAGAACUCCGAUUGCGAAGGCAGUUCACUGGACUGCAACUGACACUGAGGCUCGAAAGUGUGGGUAUCAAACAGGAUUAGAUACCCUAGUAGUC